This is a long non-coding RNA of Brienomyrus brachyistius, 813 nucleotides long. RefSeq lists it as uncharacterized. The transcript has 3 exons. The record is from RefSeq and is a predicted model, not a curated record. Lineage: Eukaryota; Metazoa; Chordata; Actinopteri; Osteoglossiformes; Mormyridae.
CACAUCAGCGACCCACCAACCAGGCCAUGGCUGUCGCUGCCACAUUUCAGUUAAAAAAAAAAUCCAAUUUUGUUGUCAACAGAGCAUCCGGAAUGCUGGCACAAAGCGCUCGGAAAAAGAGCUCAUUCUCAACAAACAGUAAACUCCAGCUGACGUGUUUUCAUUCUCCUACAACCAAAUAUUUAAAGACAAGGCCAUCGGCCCAUGCACUCAUUCUUAAAGGAAACCACGGCAUUAGUCCCGCAUGAAUUACAUUGUUCACGUUGUAUUUAGUGGCUAUUUUCGUCUCAAUUGCUGCGGUUUAAUGCUUUGUGUGGCUCAGAGGGAUGAGUCUUCUUCUACUCCGUGACGUGGGCUUUAAUCCGGCCGGACCGCCGCAGUAUUACCGCGGAGCAUAGAGCAGUGCCUCGGCGCCGUCUGCUCAAGCCCCCCCCCCUCAGGUUUGCUGGAUCACACGCUUAAGGUACCCGGUUAACGCCGCCUUCAGCGCCGCGGGGGAGCCGCGUUUCCAUGAGUGCGAGGCGUCGCUCUUCUCCGGGACUGCCUGUUAUGCCUGAGAGAUCUCGAGAGUAAAUCUGCUGGGAUCUACCAAUCCGGAGUCCCGCUGGCUGUUUACUGCAGUGAUUGAUCAGGAUCCUCGGCUUCUCUCUCUGCCAGCUUGCACCAGUGGAAUUGUGCUGCCGCUCCAUGCUGUUCGAACCCUACCGCCAUGGGCUCCCGGCCGUUAGGCGACGCACUGGAGUGAGCUGAGCUUUUUCUGUGGCACUGAUACCCUCUCCUCAUCCGGAGUCCCACCGCCAUCCCCCCCCCCCC